Molecule: microRNA precursor, 69 nt
Filed under: Retroperitoneal fibromatosis-associated herpesvirus
Lineage: Duplodnaviria; Heunggongvirae; Peploviricota; Herviviricetes; Herpesvirales; Orthoherpesviridae
Description: miRC-RF03
Source: RNAcentral
GCGGCGCGUGACAAUCUUGGCACUCCUGAAGUGUAUCAUCGUCGGUGGUGCCUAGGUGUCACGCGCGGC